GCAACAGCUCAAAUUUGAAAUAUGGCCCUCGGGUCCGAGUUGUAAUUUGGAGAGGAUGCUUUUGGCGCGGCGCCGUCCGAGUUCCUUGGAACAGGACGCCAUAGAGGGUGAGAGCCCCGUACGGGCGGCCGCCUAGCCUUUGUAAAGCUCCUUCGACGAGUCGAGUAGUUUGGGAAUGCUGCUCAAAAUGGGAGGUAAAUUUCUUCUAAAGCUAAAUACCGGCCAGAGACCGAUAGCGCACAA
RNAcentral lists this ribosomal RNA (243 nucleotides) under Ophiostoma torulosum. RNAcentral describes it as "partial large subunit ribosomal RNA". It matches the Rfam family "Eukaryotic large subunit ribosomal RNA", at positions 101 to 347 of the family's 3401-position model. Lineage: Eukaryota; Fungi; Ascomycota; Sordariomycetes; Ophiostomatales; Ophiostomataceae. The record is from RNAcentral.